RNAcentral lists this ribosomal RNA (242 nucleotides) under uncultured bacterium. RNAcentral describes it as "partial 16S ribosomal RNA". It matches the Rfam family "Bacterial small subunit ribosomal RNA", at positions 333 to 567 of the family's 1533-position model. The record is from RNAcentral.
UGUGUCCUACGGGGCGCAGCAGUAGGGAAUCUUCCACAAUGGGCGAAAGCCUGAUGGAGCAACGCCGCGUGGGUGAAGAAGGUCUUCGGAUCGUAAAACCCUGUUGUUAGAGAAGAAAGUGCGUGAGAGUAACUGUUCACGUUUCGACGGUAUCUAACCAGAAAGCCACGGCUAACUACGUGCCAGCAGCCGCGGGAAUACGUAGGUGCCAAGCGUUAUCCGGAUUUAUUGGGCGUAAAGGG